CGUGCUCGGUCGCUACGUACCGACCGAGUUGUGUGCGUGCUCGGUCGCUAAGUAGCGACCGAGCUUCGGGGAGAGCUUGGUCGCUACGUCGUGACCGAGCCGUGUACGUUCUCGGUCGCUACGUAGCGACCGAGCCUCG
Molecule: microRNA precursor, 139 nt
Filed under: Brassica napus (rape)
Lineage: Eukaryota; Viridiplantae; Streptophyta; Magnoliopsida; Brassicales; Brassicaceae
Description: pre miRNA MIR811
Source: RNAcentral